AUGUGUCUUAGACCUAAGUUGUUGCCGUUGGACAUACAUGCAUCCUCGCUUGGAGGCAGUAGUGAUGGGAGAUAUGCAUGUGCAAGGCGAAGAAGUGGGCGAAGGCCGAAGAAGCAAUAUGCCGAUCUAGCACCGCGCUUUAGCGGGUGCCUCGCCGACGACGGGGAAGGAAGGAUUAGAAGUGAAGGCUAUAGCACUAGGAAAUUGGAAACCCUAGCAAUUGACCUUCUCUAUAAAACAUGUGUGGCAGCGAGGCAGGGGACGUGGAACCUGCUUCAGGGAAGAGAGAUGGAUCACGCGAGAGAAGAGAUCAGCUUUCAUCCUUUAUCAGACAGACAAUUGUCUUUUUUUGCCAAUUGCCUAGUCCAUAUUGUCCAUGUGUUCGAUGCAUGCAAACAUGUGGCCCUUAGAGUUUGUAGGUAG
This 423-nucleotide ribosomal RNA is filed under the name Triticum aestivum (bread wheat). RNAcentral's name for it is "partial small subunit ribosomal RNA". The record is from RNAcentral. Lineage: Eukaryota; Viridiplantae; Streptophyta; Magnoliopsida; Poales; Poaceae.